This is a non-coding RNA of Procambarus clarkii (red swamp crayfish), 248 nucleotides long. The record is from RefSeq and is a predicted model, not a curated record. NCBI's taxonomy places the organism in Eukaryota, Metazoa, Arthropoda, Malacostraca, Decapoda, Cambaridae.
GUUGCUGCCGGGGGUAAUGUUUGUCUUGUGUGUUGUUGCCAGACACAUAUGAUGUGGUGGUGACCUCUGGCAGCCUGGCUCAGAGCCAUAUGCCUGUUCAAGCUAUUGAUGAAUGUAUCCGGAUCACCAAGCCAGGUGGUCUGGUGAUAAUUGUGACGAAUGUGAAGUACCUGACGACACUGGAGGAAUACAAGGACAAGCUGGAGCCACGCAUGGAACGCCUAGAACAACAAGGGUUGUGGCAGAAG